Molecule: ribosomal RNA, 253 nt
Filed under: uncultured bacterium
Lineage: Bacteria
Description: partial 16S ribosomal RNA
Rfam family: Bacterial small subunit ribosomal RNA
Source: RNAcentral
UACGUAGGUGGCAAGCGUUGUUCGGAAUUACUGGGCGUAAAGCGCGUGUAGGCGGCUCUUCAAGUCAGGCGUGAAAGCCCCGAGCUUAACUCGGGAACUGCGCUUGAUACUGUCGAGCUAGAGUGUGGAAGGGGCGAUUGGAAUUCCGUGUGUAGCGGUGAAAUGCGUAGAGAUGCGGAGGAACACCGAUGGCGAAGGCAGCCCCCUGGGCUAAGACUGACGCUGAGGCACGAAAGCGUGGGGAGCAAACAGG